This 520-nucleotide unclassified non-coding RNA is filed under the name uncultured Glomus. Its description in RNAcentral is "SSU rRNA". It matches the Rfam family "Eukaryotic small subunit ribosomal RNA", at positions 569 to 1092 of the family's 1831-position model. The record is from RNAcentral. Lineage: Eukaryota; Fungi; Glomeromycota; Glomeromycetes; Glomerales; Glomeraceae.
CGCAGCCGCGGUAAUUCCAGCUCCAAUAGCGUAUAUUAAAGUUGUUGCAGUUAAAAGCUCGUAGUUGAAUUUCGGGAUCAAUUAAUUGGUCGUGCCUCUGGUACGUACUGAUUUUAUUGGUUUCUCCCUUCUGACGAACCAUGAUGUCAUUAAUUUGGUGUCGUGGAGAAUCAGGACUGUUACUUUGAAAAAUUAGAGUGUUUAAAGCAAGCUAACGCUUGAAUACAUUAGCAUGGAAUAAUGAAAUAGGACGUUUGAUCCUAUUUUGUUGGUUUCUAGGAUCGACGUAAUGAUUAAUAGGGAUAGUUGGGGGCAUUAGUAUUCAAUUGUCAGAGGUGAAAUUCUUGGAUUUAUUGAAGACUAACUACUGCGAAAGCAUUUGCCAAGGAUGUUUUCAUUAAUCAAGAACGAAAGUUAGGGAUCGAAGACGAUCAGAUACCGUCGUAGUCUUAACCAUAAACUAUAGCCGACUAGGGAUCGGAUGAUGUUAAUUUUUAAUGUACUCAUUCGGCGCCUUACG